RNAcentral lists this ribosomal RNA (433 nucleotides) under uncultured bacterium. Its description in RNAcentral is "partial 16S ribosomal RNA". It matches the Rfam family "Bacterial small subunit ribosomal RNA", at positions 29 to 507 of the family's 1533-position model. The record is from RNAcentral.
AACGAACGCUGGCGGCAGGCCUAACACAUGCAAGUCGAGCGAGGACUUCGGUCCUAGCGGCGGACGGGUGAGUAACGCGUGGGAACGUGCCCUUUGCUUCGGAAUAGCCCUGGGAAACUGGGAGUAAUACCGGAUGAGCCCUUUGGGGGAAAGAUUUAUCGGCGAAGGAUCGGCCCGCGUUGGAUUAGGUAGUUGGUGGGGUAAUGGCCUACCAAGCCGACGAUCCAUAGCUGGUUUGAGAGGAUGAUCAGCCACACUGGGACUGAGACACGGCCCAGACUCCUACGGGAGGCAGCAGUGGGGAAUCUUAGACAAUGGGGGAAACCCUGAUCGAGCCAUGCCGCGUGAGCGAUGAAGGCCUUAGGGUUGUAAAGCUCUUUCAGCUGGGAAGAUAAUGACGGUACUAGCAGAAGAAGCCCCGGCUAACUCCGUG